This is a long non-coding RNA of Apis cerana (Asiatic honeybee), 1125 nucleotides long. RefSeq lists it as uncharacterized. The record is from RefSeq and is a predicted model, not a curated record. NCBI's taxonomy places the organism in Eukaryota, Metazoa, Arthropoda, Insecta, Hymenoptera, Apidae.
UUCGUGGCUUAUACGUGAACUAAAUAUAUUAGAAUGCAUUCUUGUCGUUCCGUUUGUAAAAUACCAUUCGUAAAAUACUAUCUAAAUUAAUUGAAAUUGACAUUCAUUAUAAUUGGAUUCACAAUCAGUAUAAUAAUUGUUAACAAGAGUCAAUAAUACAAUAUAGGAUUGAUAUUCGAAAAAUGUUGGCAUAAAAUUUCAAGAAGUUUCAAGUUUUCAGGAAAAAGUAAAAUGUGAGAAUAAAAUAUAAUAAGGACAGAAUUCAGUUAGCAAACUUUACAUUCAAUUCUUCAUAAAUAUAAAAUUCGCCAAUCAUGAUUUUGUUCCUUUUUCUCGGCGAAAAGAAAGAAAAAGAGCGAAAACGAAAAAAUGAAAAAUAUUCUUGUCAAUGCGAAAAAAAGACUGGUUAUAAAUUACAUAAAACAAGGUCGACAUCCUAGUGAAUGGAAUACAUUUUUCUUUUGACAGUAAUACAGCUUGGCUGAUUGCAUUGCCAAAUAAUGAUAUACUUUGUUUCAAUGUGUUAACAGGAAAUUCACACCUAUCAUUUCAAUUAUUCUAUCUUAUUUUUUUCGAUUAUUUAAAAAAUUUUUGCCAAAUUAAAGUAAUAUUUUUCGAAUGAAAAAAAAAAAAGAAACAAAAAGAAGAUAUUUCAAUGAUCUAAUUAGUUAAAUUAAAAGGAUGGGACGAGUUUUCAUUAAAAUGCGUCAAAGCAACGCACUUUAUUGUUCAUAAUAUUUAAACGUGGAAAUUGUUAGAGAGUAAAGUUAAAUGAAUCGAAGGGAAUAAUUCUCACGACUCAAAUUCGAUAAAGAGGAUGAAAUCUUUUUCCCCAUGAAUAUGAGCGAUUGGAUAAAAACGGCGAAGUCAACAAUCAUAAUGACAGAUAUGAUAACAGUGACGAAUGAAUCGAAAAUUGAUCAAUUUUUUCAAUUUUCAUUAAUUACUUUAAAUGAUCCAGAAUUAUUUUUAGAAUUUUUGAAAGAUUAAAAUAUUAAAAAAAAUUGAGAUUAAUGAAAUAAAAUAGAAAUUUUUAUAAAUAAUAAUUUUUUUAUCUAAAUUUUUUUUAAAUUUUUAAAAGCCUGAAAUAUUAAAAAAAAAAAGAUCCUAAUAAAUGAUCUAGGA